Molecule: ribosomal RNA, 705 nt
Filed under: Escherichia coli
Lineage: Bacteria; Pseudomonadati; Pseudomonadota; Gammaproteobacteria; Enterobacterales; Enterobacteriaceae
Description: partial 23S ribosomal RNA
Rfam family: Bacterial large subunit ribosomal RNA
Source: RNAcentral
AUCGGGGUUGCGGACAGUGUCUGGUGGGUAGUUUGACUGGGGCGGUCUCCUCCUAAAGAGUAACGGAGGAGCACGAAGGUUGGCUAAUCCUGGUCGGACAUCAGGAGGUUAGUGCAAUGGCAUAAGCCAGCUUGACUGCGAGCGUGACGGCGCGAGCAGGUGCGAAAGCAGGUCAUAGUGAUCCGGUGGUUCUGAAUGGAAGGGCCAUCGCUCAACGGAUAAAAGGUACUCCGGGGAUAACAGGCUGAUACCGCCCAAGAGUUCAUAUCGACGGCGGUGUUUGGCACCUCGAUGUCGGCUCAUCACAUCCUGGGGCUGAAGUAGGUCCCAAGGGUAUGGCUGUUCGCCAUUUAAAGUGGUACGCGAGCUGGGUUUAGAACGUCGUGAGACAGUUCGGUCCCUAUCUGCCGUGGGCGCUGGAGAACUGAGGGGGGCUGCUCCUAGUACGAGAGGACCGGAGUGGACGCAUCACUGGUGUUCGGGUUGUCAUGCCAAUGGCACUGCCCGGUAGCUAAAUGCGGAAGAGAUAAGUGCUGAAAGCAUCUAAGCACGAAACUUGCCCCGAGAUGAGUUCUCCCUGACUCCCUGAGAGUCCUGAAGGAACGUUGAAGACGACGACGUUGAUAGGCCGGGUGUGUAAGCGCAGCGAUGCGUUGAGCUAACCGGUACUAAUGAACCGUGAGGCUUAACCUUACAACGCCGAAG